Molecule: long non-coding RNA, 9663 nt
Filed under: Equus caballus (horse)
Lineage: Eukaryota; Metazoa; Chordata; Mammalia; Perissodactyla; Equidae
Description: lncRNA (ENSECAG00000043605.2)
Source: RNAcentral
GACGGAGCGCGUCACAGGGGCCUGUGGUUGCCAGUGCUGUUCCCACUUCACAGAUGGGGACACUGAAGCUGGGACAUUACAGAGCCAGGUUAAAAGGUAGGUCCUCCUGACCCCAAAGCCUGUGCCCUUAACCUCUUGCCUUACUAUAUCUCAGGGCUUGUGUGCCACUCGGGACCUCUGACUCUUGAGUUACAAGAGGGAGGAAGGACAGCAAUCCUUAGCACCAGGAUCUGCUGAGGAAGAAGAGAGCAGAGUGUGUGAAGUGCCUCCUCAUGGUGCCAGGUGACAUGAUGCGUGUCCUUGUACUCCCACGUGAGUAGCUCUCUUCUCUGGGAACACCUGCUCCGUCCUUUGCCCACUUAUCACUGUGCUCUCGCGCCUUUGGUUGCCAAGUUCCCAGAAGGUGCAGUCCACACCUGCUACCAACUUCCUCUCAUCUCCUGUGGGAUCAUUUGCCGCCUCUCUGCAUCUCAGCCCCACACCUGGGACCGUCUCUAUGGGAGUGGUUUAUUGGAAAGCAAAGUGGGAUUUGUCCACAGGAGACGUGAGUUCAAGCUCUAGUUACAUCCUCCACUGGUUAUGGUCUUGGACAAGCCACUCGACCUCUCCAAGUGUCGCCGUCCUUGUCUGCAGAACAGGGACAAUAAUAAUUCCCACCUCAAAGGAUUGCAGUGAGGGUGGAUGUCAGAAGGUGACCUGAGCCUGAGGGCAUGGCACGCUCUGUCCAGCGCUCGUGUUCCUGGGCCCCCCUGGCGUCCUAGGAGAUGUUCUGACUGCACCCAGCUGUGCCAGGCGUCGUCUUACACAGUCCCUGAUGCCUUGAGGUCACCUAACACGAACCAACUUAAAGAAAGCCUCCCCUCGCGCUUUCCACGACCAACUUCCCGACCCCUUCCUUCCCCGCGUCCUACUCGUCCACCUGAAUGCACCAGGUUCCAUCACUUUUCCUCCAAAACGUCCUAAAAGAAUUCAAAGCCUCACUUUUCUUUCCCUUCUUGCAGCAUCCUCAAUGCUGUCCCGCUCCACCCAUCCUUCGGGACUAUUUCAGCCCUUCCGGCCGAGUUCUUGCUUCUGACCCCACCACACCCUAAUUCUGCAGCUACCAGCAGACGGAUCCUCCUCCCACAGCCUGCUUUUGUCCCACCACCUCCCUGGGCAGGAAUCUUCACUAGCUCCCCAUUGAAUGACAUCCAAACCCAGCCUAGCACACAGGGAUCUCCACACCACGGCCUCAGCUGACCGACCCUUUUAAUUCCAUCGCUUAAAAACAAUCUUGCUGAAGCCUGGAAGCACCGCACUGCCUUUCAGUGGGUGGAUGGCUAAGUGACCUGUGUACAUCCAGACAACAGGAUGUGACUGAGCACUCAAAAGAAACGAGCUGCCAGGCCCUGAAAAGACGUGGAGGGAACUUAAAUGCACUUCCUAAGUGAAAGAAGCUGGUCUGAAAGGCUGCAUGCUGUGGGAUGCCACCUUUACGGCAUUCUGGAAAAUCAAAACUAUGGAGAUGAGUGUGCACCAGCAAGAGUGAACCCGAAUGUAAACCCCAGGUGACGCCGGGUGAUGAUGAUGUGUCCGCCUGGGCUCAUCCAGGGUGGGACGCCGAAAUAGCACGGCUUGACGAGCGGUGCUAGAUCUGCACCAGGGAUCCGAGCCUGCGAACCCAGGCCAUCGAGGCAGAGUGCACGAACUUAACCGCUUCGCCACUAGCUGGCCCUUGCAUGUUUAUUUUAAUCAGAGAGAGACUGUAGCACGGCCUCCGGGUGGGAGCCUCCUUUCCCCUCUGUGAUGCAUCCUGGGCUUCAAGGGGUUAGCCCUCCAGUGAGUGGAUGCCCCUAACUCGCUGAAUUACCUCCUCUCCCUGCAUUUAUGGUGUGCCUUCUGUUUACUGCCCUUUCUGUUUUCUUCUUUUCCUUGACCUUUCACUUUACGUUUCAUUCAUCAAGUUUUUAUAGCCUCUCUGCCCACUUCUCCUGAUUUCUUUAAAUCUGCUGGUUUGGAAGAUACAGAUGGUGUUCCUAUUCUUUUAGCAGGCACCCUUAACUUCCCCUUUUUAUUGUGUCAAAGUUUACAGAAAAAUGCAUAAAAUACACAGUGCCAGCUGACUCGUUUCUGGGAAGCAUGCCCCUCCAAACAGCCCUCCCUCCCCCUCACAGGCCUCCCUCCAUCACAGCCCUCCCUCCCCAUCACAGCCCUCUCCAUCACAGCCCUCCCUCCAUCACAGCCCUCCCUCCCCAUCACAGCCCUCCCUCCCCAGCACAGCCCUCCUUCCCCCUCAUGGUCUUCCCUCCCCAGAGCAGCCACUGUCCUGGCCGAUGGUCAUCAGAUCCCCACUUUGCCUUCUGCUUCCAUCACCUAUGUGUGUGUCCCUAAACGUUAUGGUUUAGUUUGUUUGUUUCCCAAUUGAUAUUGGUGGAACCGUAUGAUAUGCAUUUUUAUUUUUGGGGUGGGUGGACUGGCUCCUUUCACUCAACACUUUAUUAAAGAUUUAUCUACGUUGUGUGUAGCCAUAGGCUGUUCAUCUUCAUUACUGUAUAUUGUUCCUUUGAAUGAAUAGCCGCAAUUUAUUUAUCCAUUCCAAUGUUGAUGGACGUUUGUUUUUUCCCCCCAGACUUUGGAAAUUACCAGCAAUACUGCUAUAUAUACAUAUUUUACACGGAUUCUGGUGUUUGUGUUUCUGUCGGGUGUAUACUAGAUGUGGAAUUGUGUGUCAUAGGGUAUACAUAAUUGUAGCUCAUUGUGGUUUUAACUUGUAGUUCUCGAUUGCUAAUGAGGUUGAGCAUGUUUUCACAUGUUUAUUGGCCUUCUGGAUUUCUUGUGAAAAAUGUCCUCAAAUUUUUCAGUUAUAUUAUCUCUUUUUUUUUUUUGAGGAAGAUUAUACCCGAGCUAACUACUGCCAAUCCUCUUUUUGCUGAGGAAGCCUGGCCCUGAGCUAACGUCUGUGCCCAUCUUCCUCCACUUUAUACGUAGGACGCCUAUCACAGCAUGGCUUUCGCCAAGCAGUGCCUUGUCCACACCCGGGAUCCGAACCAGCAAACCCUGGGCCGCCUAGAAGCGGAAUGUGCGCACUUAGCCGCUGCACCGCUGCACAACCUCUGUCAUUUUCUUAUUGAUUUGUAGGAGAUCUUUACAUAUUUUGGAUAAGAACCAGUUGUUUGGUACAUGUGUUAUAAAUAUCUUCUCUCACUCUGUGGAUUGCCGUUUCACCUUUUUAAUGACAUCUUUUGAUAAAUAGAAGUUUUAAAUUUUAGUAGAGUUGAAUUUAUCAAUUUUUCCCUUUAUGGUUAAUGACUUACUUUUGUCUUAAGAAAACUUUCCCUACUCCAACUUUAUGCAGCGAGAUUCCUACAUUAAUUCUAAAGACUUUACAGUGUUGCCUUCACAUGCAGGCCUAUAAUGCACAUGCAAUUGAGUUUUACAUAUGGUGUGAGUAGGGACCCAAUCUCAUUUUUUUCCCAUAGGGGUGCCCAAUUCUCCCAACAUUCUUAUUAAAGCAGACACAAUCGAAUAAUAUCUUCAAAAAGGUGAGCAAAAAUAACUGUCAAGCUAAAAUCUAAACCCAGCUAAAGUGUCACUCAAGAGUGAUUGUGAAACAAGCACAUUUCAGAUGAAGACAAAGAGAGGUUUGCCACUGGUGAUGUGCACUGAGGAGUUUAGGGGCUAUAUUCGGGAAGGAAGGGAUUGAAUACAAAUGCAAGGUCUACCCGAAUCUCGGCUUGCUCCAGUAGGGGCCCCGUUUCCUUACUUUUUUUGAGGUUGUGACAAGUGUUCAAACAGAACCUGAUGGACAGGCCCCAAGUGGAGCCCGUGGUGGACCCCAGGGUUUGGUAUGAUCGACCCUCAGUGUUAUUUUUGUCCCUCGGCUGGGCUUAGGGUCACUGGCUUAGGCACAGAACCUCUGCUGAAGCAAGGUUUUGUUUACCUUCACAAAUUUAGGAAACCAGGGGGAACCUGCUUGUUCAUGUCCUCCUAAGUGGUGGGGAGAAGCUUUUACAAGAAAUAACUUUUUCAGCAAGUCCAGUGUAUUUUUUUAACCUCUCUCUUUUUUUUUCCCUGCAAUUGUGACAUGUCUACAUAAAAUUGGCCACAGGAAGGAAGUCCUGUUCACGAAGUUAUUUUCUGAACAUCCCCCUACACUCUAGAUUUCACAACAUGCAUACAUUUAGGUGGAGGGACCGAGACUUCGUGCCCUCAAUGGCAGCUGUAAUUUGGGAGUCAAACGCCAUCAGGGAGCAUUGAUAGCUUCUGUGUGAUCCCCUCGUAUAGACAAGAAAAGGUCAGAAUCGAAGGAGGAAUGAAAUAUUUACUUUAAAGAAAGAGACUUUCAGAACGGAGAGUCUGAACACUUCUGGAAAUAAGCCUGAAGUCAGAGGUCAACUCAGCGAGAUUCUACAACGGAGAAGUUGAGAGUUUAGAGAAGGACCAGGAAAAAAAUAGAAUGACCCAGCCACUGGGAGGUGCCAGUGACCCUGGACUGCUGUUCUUAAAAGGCCCCUCUCGCUUAGUCGUGGAGCCCAGGGCCAUAGCUUUGUGGCCCGAGGAACGUGCAGCCUACACUGGCCUCUGCAUGGCAACUCGCUACGACGUUUGCACUCGUUCAUCUAAAGCGAGGGAGGGCCACCCUCCUACGUCCUCUUCCGUCCUGCCUCUGUGAACUGCACAGAGUUUGCAUCAAGCCCUUCUAGACGUAAAGCCUAAUCGUGUAAGGCGUAGGCACGGUUGAAAUCAGCUGACUUCUUGUCCUCGGCUCCCUAUCAUCUUUCUUUCCCUUUCCUGUUGGAGGUGGUCAUCUCCAUGCGCCUCUGUGUUGAAGUAUGCAGAUUAUAAGCACCAUGUUCAGUGCCUGCUGGCACCGAUUGCUUCACACAUCUCAUUGAAUCUUUGCAACAGGUCUUUAAGCUGCUUAUUUCUAUCUGCGGUUGCAAAGGAGGACACAGGCUCAUGGCAGCCACAGGCACUUUUGGGGAAGGGCCUGUGCCAGUGUGAUAGAGGCAGGACAUGAGCGCAGGUCUGGAGCUCACUUGUCUCGGGGACCGCACCCCACGCUUCUGAGAGCACAGCUGGAGGGGACUCGCUGCCCUCCUGGUCAGCGUCUUUGGCCUGGGACAGACUCUGGCCACAGGAGGCCUACUCCCUCUGCAGUGUCGCUCUCGGGGGCCCGGCCCCCUCACCACUGCUUUAUUUAUUAAUGUGGCUUCAGAGUGUUAGGGCCCCAGACUGUCUAGUCCACACUCGUGCUUUAGACGAGGAAACAGAUGCACCCAAGAGGAAUAAAUGGACUAGAGGGAUGUAUCAGACAGCGUUGCUGCCCUGACUCAGCGGCUUAAAACAGCGAAGGCUGAUCGUUCCUCACGAUUCCGAGGGUGGACCGGCUGGCUCUUCAGUCGAUCUCCCCUGGCUCUUUAGUGCAGCGGUCCACCCAGCUGGGUGGCCUUUCAUCCUGGGUCCGCAACCCUGGUGAGAGGGCUCCAAGAGGGCCAAAGUAGGAGCUGCCUCACCUUGGAAGUUGCAAGUCACUCCUGCUCCAUUCUGUCCAGAGGCAAGGAGGAGUCAACCGACUCUGCUUCUUGAUGGGAGGAGCAGCAAAGCCACAUGACCAAGGUGGGAGAAUAUGGGCAGCGUGGUUCACGGGCGUGGGUGGUCGUUAUUGUAACAAUCUACCCGCAUGAUGUGGCCCACUCCUGCUGGAGGCAGAGCUUGGGCCCAGGACUCCUGAUUUUGUUCUUUUCUAUGACAGCAUGCUGUUCUGACAUCCCACGGGACUUUCUAGAAUCCCACAGAUUUUCCAGGAGUCUCCUUAAUUGACCAACAGGCUGCUGGCUCUGACGAGCAUCAGGGAGAGAGGUCGUGUGUCCACCCCUCCUCUCAUGACUGUGCUGAGCAGCGUCGAGUCCCUGAUGACCCCGGUGUGCAGCCACUGCCCAUACCCUUCCUCCAUAGUGUCCCAGGAUGGGGGGAUGCUAAGGCAGCUCUCCCUGAGGGGCUCAGGUGAUCCAGUAGGGUCAGGGAAGAAAAGAUUAGACCCCGUUUAUGUUUCCAUUUGCCUAAGAAAGAAAUGAACUUUGCUAAUGUUUCUAAGUGGAGAGACACCGGCGCCCUCCCUUGAGCCUGACGUCAGGUGUCCUGACUCCUGUAGGGACAGAGAAGACGUGGGGGAGGAGGGGACACUCCAUAACCCAGCCACACGGGCAGUGGCACAUUGAGACACGUGGCUCUGAAAAUGCAGUGGGCAAACCAUAAACUAUUUCCCAUCUGUGCGUCUAAAACUCUGGAAGCCACGUAUUCCGUAUGCUACACGGUAGCGUUGUAUCCUGUUUAAUCUGGACGGUGAGCAGCGUGAGAGCACGCACUGCCUUCUUCUUCUUUGUGUCCUGGGUCUGUCUAGGGCCCGGCUCGGAGCUCGUAGGAACUCAGAGUCUUUUAUGGCUGAGUCAAGUUCUGUCCUAACUGUUCACUGUGUGCUGAGCUCCUCGUGGGGGGCGCCCCAUGGAACCUGUUAUGAAAUAUUCCCAGAGGCACGGAGGGUGACUUCUGUAACCCUAGGACAGUUAUCCUUGGGUGCUUGGCUCUCUCCAGUCUUUAUCUUGUCUCGGGAGGCUGUUGGGUCAUUGACACAAGGUGGGGUCUUGGAUGAACCACUCCUGUCGUUAGGGGCUGGGACAGCCUUUUUCCAGAUUGUCCUGUUCCAGCAGCCUGAGGAGUGUCUUGCUGGACUCCCGCCAGGAGUUAGAAGCCUUCUCAACUGUCGGUGUGCUUCCUGUUUGCACAUUUGAUUUGGUGCCUAGUGUAUGUCGUCUUGCCGCCUUGUCAUAUUACCUCAUUUCCCUUUUAUAGUUGCUUGUCAUUCAAGGAAUGGAUUGGAGCAGAAGGCAUUUAAGGUCCUGUACUAGUGUCCUGUGGCUGCUGCAACAAAUGACCACAAACGUGGUGGCCUCAAACAACACAAAUUCGUUCUCUUACAGUCUGGAGGUCUGACCCAGGUCUCACUGGGCUAACGUCAAGGUGUCGGCAGGGCUGGUUCAUUUCUGGAAGGAGCGUCCGUUUCCUUGCCUUUUCCAGCUUCUGGGGGACAUCCGCAUUCCUUGGCUUGUGGCCCCUUCUUCCAUCUUGAAAGCCAGCAGCCCAGCAGCGUCCAAUCCCUCUCUGACUCUGCUCCUGCCCUCACAUCUCCUUCUCUGACUCUGACCCUCCCGCCUCCCUCUUACAAGGACCCUGCGAUGACAGUGGACUCGCCUGGAUUGUCCCGGCUGCUCUUCCCGCCUCAAGAGCCUGAGCUUAAUCACAUCUCUGUCUCUCUCUCCUUCUCCCCCUCCUUCUCUCUCUCUUCCUACGCUACUCCUUGGUUCUUUCCUUCGCGGGAUCAACACAGUUUGUAAUCCUGCGUGUACAGGUUUCAAGUCUGUCUCCCCCACUGUUUGAGAAGCUCGUCUCCUUGUUCACGGCUAUAUUCCCAGGAUCUAGAGAAAUGCCGGUAGAAUUAUGCUCGAGUUGAAAAUUUCCCUCUGACGCAUUCCCGUCCAUUUGCAGGCCAUGGGCCUGUCAAUCAGAGGGGAAGAGAUGCCCACACCACGUUCUAGCCCCGCGGCUUCCCGGCCAGCCUCGGGGUAGCAUGCUUAGGCAAGCGUCGUGGCCGCCUUGUGUGAUGUCAUGCUGUGGGCAGCACUGGGCCUGGUGGGCUUGGGGCAAGGGAAGUCACCCCUGCGUGAAGAUCCUGUUUGCAAGGGGACCUCAGCUCUGGUCUCAGAGGCUGGGCACCUUCUCUUCCGGCUGCUUCUCUUUUCUCGGUGAAACAGGAACAAGAUCGAGGGAGGCUGGAGGCUUGAGGAGAGUGAGAUAGCUGUCCAGGAGAGAGGAAAAGGACAGAGAGAUGGGGACAGUCACCGGGUAGCAAGAAGGGUUGCGGAGUGUCAAGGGAAGGCUGCAGAGUGUGGUCGGCCAGCAGGCUGCUGCCCUCCCUGCUGCCCCUGAGGCUGGGCUUGGUGUUGAGAAAGCAGAGGGCGGGCGGCACUGAGCCAGGCUCCGUGUUUGCCGAGCAGUGACACUGUGGGGACAGCUCCCCUUCCAUUUCUGCAGAGUGGGUGGGACCUCCUGCUGCAGAGUGGGAGUGGCCGGUGCAGAAGUGGGAGGGGAGCUCGAGUACAGCCAGACCUCCAGAACAUUCUCACCAGAACCCAGGUGAGAAACCACAGUGUACUUUCCUUCAAGGCUGCCCUUCACUUUAAUCUGAUCUCAUGCAACACGUGGAAGGAGGGGAGGGGCAGGUGGGGGGUGGGCGUGGACAUCGACGGCCCCUGUCCUGGACAGUGCCCACCGACACUGUCUGUCCCAGACCUGAUCCCCCGACCGGGAACUACUGUCUGAGCAGAGACUCUGCACACACACUCCUCACCUUGAAGGCAGAGUUUUGUCACCAUCUCUUUCGUGCUUAUGGCGCAAGUGGCUACCGCUGCCCAACAGAUGGAGUUCAUGGACGUCCGGGUCCUGGAGAAACGUAUGUGCUGGCUGUGACAGACAGGCAGUGGGAAAAAACCAGGCCCAAGAGCUUUGAAGACCAAGUUUCUGUCUGUGCUGUGGGCUGCUCCUGACAGGAGAGGGCCUUGGUACCAAAGACUGUACGUCCCAGACCGCCUCCCUUUCGAUAACCGCUGUCUAACCUUUCCUCUGGUGGUGACAUAGUGGCUUGUGCAGCUUUAGGAGGUUCCAGGAGGAAUGUGAGGAUCUGGCCCUAAGUGGUGAGGAAGAGAAGCUGGAGCAGGAGCGAUCAGUGAGGGAGAGCGCGGUCUGGGCGUUCCAGGAAGCACGUGGACCAGGACUCAAUGGGUGUGGGCAUUUGUGGGGAAGAGCGAAGAAGCCCUGACAUCUUAGUGAGGCUGGAGUAGUCGAGUCAUGGCAAUAGCCCUCUCCUGCUGGGCUGGGUGACAGGGGGCAAUGCAGUUCACAGGGCACAAACAGUGAGGGGAAGGUGCUGGGCCCAGUCUUGGGGUGCACCAACUAUUUCUGAGGGCAGGUGGUUCUUUCCUAGGAGCUGACAUCUGAGCUAUGCACCAGGCACUGGCAUUUCCUUCUCCCUUCCACCCGUGUCAUCCUGUGAUGGGUCCAGGGAAGACCCUUCUCUCUUCAAGACUACCCUUGAUGUAAAUUUUAGCCAGGUGUCACCUGAAGCGGAAGGAUGAGGGUCGGUAUGAGCAUACACAGACGGCUGAGGCUACAAGUUCGAGAUGUCCACUGGGGCCGCAGUUUGGAAAAUUUAGAAGAAUCCUCUGGCAAAAUGAAACUGAACUCUUACUUCCCCACUGAUGGUCUCCCGGUGACGGCAUAGACACUCUUGUCCUUGGUGAUAGAUCUGGAUGCUUUGGGUGUCGGCUUUGUCAAGGUUUAAUUUAUGUACAAUAAAAUCCCCCAAUUUGAAGUGUACCAUUUAAUGAGUUUUGACAAAUGUGUACAGUCCUGCAGCCACCACGAUCAUGACAUAAACCAUUUCCAUCGUCCCAACAGUUCCCUCAUCUCUCUCUGGGUAAUCUCCUCCUUCCACCCCCAGCUCCCGGCAACCCCCGAGCUGCUUUCCAGCACUGUGGUUUGGCUUUUUUUUUUUAUGAAUUGUAUGUGCGUAGAAUCUUACAGCAUGUGGUCCUUUAUGUCUGGCUUUUGAAACUUAAUGGAGUGCUU